UACGAACCGUACAACCGUUAUUCGGAAUCACUGGGCUUAAAGGGUGCGUAGGCGGCCAUGUAAGUGAGGUGUGAAAUCCCUCGGCUCAACCGAGGAACUGCGCUUCAUACUGCAUGGCUUGAGGGAGACAGGGGUAAGCGGAACUGAUGGUGGAGCGGUGAAAUGCGUUGAUAUCAUCAGGAACACCGGUGGCGAAAGCGGCUUACUGGGUCUCUUCUGACGCUGAGGUACGAAAGCUAGGGUAGCGAACGGG
This 253-nucleotide ribosomal RNA is filed under the name uncultured bacterium. Its description in RNAcentral is "partial 16S ribosomal RNA". It matches the Rfam family "Bacterial small subunit ribosomal RNA", at positions 524 to 776 of the family's 1533-position model. The record is from RNAcentral.